Molecule: long non-coding RNA, 486 nt
Filed under: Bos taurus (domestic cattle)
Lineage: Eukaryota; Metazoa; Chordata; Mammalia; Artiodactyla; Bovidae
Description: long non-coding RNA NONBTAT015061
Source: RNAcentral
GGCUUAGGGCUUCAGAGAUUUCAAGGGAAGAAAAAAGUAAGAAAAUCCUUUCAUUAAACAAAACGGCUACACGUCAGAACAUUUAAGCCAGAUUUUCAAAAGAAAAAAAGAAUACCCAACUCAGAGUUUUGUAAGAAACAAUCAGGUAAAAUACGUUAAAAGUAUUUGUUGUUGUGAUGGACACACAUGUAAAUAAUGAUUAGCUGCUGCUCCUGCUGCUGUUAUCAAGGUCACAAUUACCUUCACCUAGCUAUGUGGUACUGGCCAAGGACUAAACACGUAAAUAUCAGAAAAUAAAGAGUGCCCUCAAACAAGCCUGAGAGUAAGAAUCUGUAAAUGCUAAAGGUGGCAUUCUGAAUCAGUGGGAAAAAGGUAGAGAUUUAAUAAACAGCUGGUGUGCUCCAUCAUCUGACGAAGAAAAGAACUGGAGUCUUAUCUCACAACAUAGAUAAAUUUCAGAGUAAAAAGCUAGAUUAUUUGCAAUAU